This 497-nucleotide ribosomal RNA is filed under the name uncultured bacterium. Its description in RNAcentral is "partial 16S ribosomal RNA". It matches the Rfam family "Bacterial small subunit ribosomal RNA", at positions 30 to 523 of the family's 1533-position model. The record is from RNAcentral.
AUUGAACGCUGGCGGCAUGCUUUACACAUGCAAGUCGAACGGUAACAGGCCGCAAGGUGCUGACGAGUGGCGAACGGGUGAGUAAUGCAUCGGAACGUGCCCAGUCGUGGAGGAUAACGCAGCGAAAGCUGCGCUAAUACCGCAUACGAUCUAUGGAUGAAAGCGGGGACCGUAAGGCCUCGCGCGAUUGGAGCGGCCGAUGUCAGAUUAGGUAGUUGGUGGGGUAAAGGCUCAACAAGCCAACGAUCUGUAGCUGGUCUGAGAGGACGACCAGCCACACUGGGACUGAGACACGGCCCAGACUCCUACGGGAGGCAGCAGUGGGGAAUUUUGGACAAUGGGCGCAAGCCUGAUCCAGCAAUGCCGCGUGCAGGAAGAAGGCCUUCGGGUUGUAAACUGCUUUUGUACGGAACGAAACGGUCCUGGUUAAUACCCGGGGCUAAUGACGGUACCGUAAGAAUAAGCACCGGCCAACUACGUGCCAGCCGCCGCAGUAA